RNAcentral lists this ribosomal RNA (440 nucleotides) under uncultured bacterium. Its description in RNAcentral is "partial 16S ribosomal RNA". It matches the Rfam family "Bacterial small subunit ribosomal RNA", at positions 338 to 795 of the family's 1533-position model. The record is from RNAcentral.
CCUACGGGUGGCAGCAGUGGGGGAUAUUGCACAAUGGGGGGAACCCUGAUGCAGCGACGCCGCGUGGGUGAAGAAGCGCCUCGGCGCGUAAAGCCCUGUCAGCAGGGAAGAAAAUGACGGUACCUGAAGAAGAAGCCCCGGCUAACUACGUGCCAGCAGCCGCGGUAAUACGUAGGGGGCAAGGGUUAUCCGGAUUUACCGGGUGUAAUGGGGGCGCAGGCGGUGAUGCAAGCCAGGAGUGAAAGCCCGGGGCCCAACCCCGGGACUGCUCGUGGAACUGCGUGGCUGGAGUGCAGGAGGGGCAGGCGGAAGUCGUGGUGUAGCGGUGAAAUGCGUAGAUAUCAGGAGGAACACCGGUGGCGAAGGCGGCCUGCUGGACUGCAACUGACGUUGAGGCCCGAAAGCGUGGGGAGCGAACAGGAUUAGAUACCCGUGUAGUC